Molecule: ribosomal RNA, 496 nt
Filed under: uncultured bacterium
Lineage: Bacteria
Description: partial 16S ribosomal RNA
Rfam family: Bacterial small subunit ribosomal RNA
Source: RNAcentral
GAUGAACGCUGGCGGCGUGCCUAAUACAUGCCAGUCGAGCGAACAGACGAGGAGCUUGCUCCUCUGACGUUAGCGGCGGACGGGUGAGUAACACGUGGAUAACCUACCUAUAAGACUGGGAUAACUUCGGGAAACCGGAGCUAAUACCGGAUAAUAUAUUGAACCGCAUGGUUCAAUAGUGAAAGACGGUUUUGCUGUCACUUAUAGAUGGAUCCGCGCCGCAUUAGCUAGUUGGUAAGGUAACGGCUUACCAAGGCAACGAUGCGUAGCCGACCUGAGAGGGGAAUCGCCCACCCGGAACCUGAGCAACGUCCCAGCCCCCUAGGGAGGCAGCAGUAGGGAAUCUUCCGCAAUGGGCGAAAGCCUGACGGAGCAACGCCGCGUGAGUGAUGAAGGUCUUCGGAUCGUAAAACUCUGUUAUUAGGGAAGAACAAAUGUGUAAGUAACUAUGCACGUCUUGACGGUACCUAAUCAGAAAGCCACGGCUAACUACGUG